This 270-nucleotide ribosomal RNA is filed under the name uncultured bacterium. RNAcentral's name for it is "partial 16S ribosomal RNA". It matches the Rfam family "Bacterial small subunit ribosomal RNA", at positions 28 to 309 of the family's 1533-position model. The record is from RNAcentral.
GACGAACGCUGGCGGCGUGCUUAACACAUGCAAGUCACGGGGGUCCGCAAGGACAACCGGCGAACGGGUGCGUAACACGUGAGCAACCUACCGAUUUGUGGGGGAUAGCCGGCCCAACGGCCGGGUAAUACCGCAUACGCUUGGUCUGGGACAUCCCGGGCCAAGGAAACCUCCGGGGCAAAUCGAGGGGCUCGCGGCCUAUCAGCUAGUUGGCGAGGUCACGGCUCACCAAGGCGACGACGGGUAGCUGGUCUGAGAGGAUGGCCAGCC